Mycena vulgaris is the source of this 74-nucleotide non-coding RNA. NCBI's taxonomy places the organism in Eukaryota, Fungi, Basidiomycota, Agaricomycetes, Agaricales, Mycenaceae. The record is from the annotation of a GenBank genome assembly.
GACCCAGUGGCGGAAGGUAAGCGCCCCGCGUGUUAUGCCGGCGGGAAGUCCUGGUUCGACCCCAGGCUGGGUCA